ACAUGUAAAACCUGUAGGACACCGGCACUCGAGGCCUGGAGUUGGAGACCCCUGGAAUAGAUUUUUCAAGGCAGGACAUUUUGUUUUCCUACAAUGAGCAUGGUUUCCAGAUACAAAUAUAGCUGAUCGUGAAGUUCAGCUCUCUUUCUCUCUCAGUCUGAUGGUCAUGAUGUUUAGACUGAACCAAGCAGCACUUCUCAUUCCGCUAUUAGUGAUGUGGCAUGUCUUUGCAGGAAUCACUAAAGACGACCGCAGAGCUUUGCUGGUGUCCAGAGGAGACUCAGUGACACUGACUUGCAAUAUAAGACAUAAUAAUGUGACCCUAGUCUCCUGGACCAACAGAAGAUGUGUUUUUCAACAUUCCAAUGUGCUGAAUCGCACCCAUUCAAAUUUCUCUUUUCAUAGACUGAAAAUAAAUCAUGAGUUUCCUACAAAGCUAAUUAUUUUUAGUGCUCAGCCUGAAGAUGAAGGACUUUAUACAUGUAGCAUAACAGACAGAAGUGGCAUAUACAGCAUUACAUGGAGUUUAACUGUGUCUGAGCACCCCAAAGAUUCCGCUUCAUCAAAGUAUUUUCUAUACAUACUCCCAUCUGCAAUUGGAAUCCUCCUGUGUCAUCACACUAGCUGUCUUU
Molecule: long non-coding RNA, 632 nt
Organism: Pundamilia nyererei
Lineage: Eukaryota; Metazoa; Chordata; Actinopteri; Cichliformes; Cichlidae
Exons: 4
Source: RefSeq, a predicted model, not a curated record